AAUUAGGUGGCUGAGAAAAAGCGUUGGUCUCUUAAACCAAUUUACGGUUAAUCCCCUAGUUG
This 62-nucleotide transfer RNA is filed under the name Mesobuthus gibbosus (Mediterranean checkered scorpion). RNAcentral's name for it is "transfer RNA-Lys". Lineage: Eukaryota; Metazoa; Arthropoda; Arachnida; Scorpiones; Buthidae. The record is from RNAcentral.